ACUAUUUAUUAAACUCCGCCGUUUUAAGAAUGGCAGGGAUUUGCAAGUAAAAAAAAGGCUCACUAGUCUACAGAACAAGAACGCAAAAUCCUUGCCUUUGCUAGUUUUGCGGAACGCGGGGUGUUUUCUUCUUUUGUUAACAACCAGAAGAAACAAUCCAAUUUGAGAGUUCCACGGGACUAUCGAACAAAUAAAAUUGGGAAGAAUUGAUUUUUUUGUUGUACUCUUGCUCUUGUUGACUGCAGCUGAGAGCGAUUUUGGGGACUCCAAGUGAAAGUGUUGUAUAGAAUUUUUGGAAACUAUGCAGGAAAUUCAUCAGCUUGAGAUUUUAUGCAAGCAAUUGUACGAAGCAACUGAUUCAGUAAUUCGUUCGGAAGCUGAAAAGGCCCUUGUUGCAUUUGUUAGUAGCCAAGAUGCCCUACCUAAAUGUCAAAUGCUUUUGGAUCGAGCCGAUUCAAGUUAUGCACAACUUUUAGCUGCAACAACUUUAACCAAAUUGAUACAAGGUCUCAAUUUGGAACAAAGAAUCGAUAUAAGGAGUUACAUUUUGAAUUAUCUUGCCACCCGCCCAAAUUUGCAAAAUUUUGUUGUACAAGCACUUGUCACGUUAUUGGCUAAAAUAACAAAAUACGGCUGGUUUGAUACCUAUAAAAAUGAAUAUAUUUUUCAAAAUAUCCUUGAAGAUGUGAAGAAAUUUCUCCAGCAAGGCUCAUCUGAGCACUGUACAAUUGGAGUACAAAUUCUGUCGCAACUUGUGUGCGAAAUGAAUUCAAUUGUUGAGGCAGAUGUUAAUUUGUCAUUUUCAAAGAAUCGCAAAAUCGCCACAUCUUUCCGUGACCAGCAGUUGUACGAUAUUUUCCUGUUGUCCUGUUCGCUUUUGGUAACAGCAAGAGACAACAGCAAAAGUUUAAAUUUUAUGGAUGAGUCCCAGCAAGCUCUUAUUUCACAUGUUUUGCGAUUGACUAAGAAUUGCUUGAGCUUUGAUUUUAUUGGAAGCUCCACUGAUGAGUCUUCGGAUGAUAUGAACAGUGUUCAAAUUCCUACUUCCUGGAGACCAGCAUUUCUUGACUCCAAUACUUUGAAGUUAUUUUUUGAUCUCUAUCAGAUUCUACCAAAUGGAUUGGCAAGCUAUUCGUUGUCUUGUUUAGUGCAGAUGACUUCAGUUCGUCGAUCUUUAUUUAACAAUCAAGAACGUACAAAAUUUUUAACUCAUCUUCUCGAAGGCGUUAAGAAUAUUCUGACAAAUUUACAUGGUCUUAGUGAUCCAGAUAAUUAUCACGAAUUCUGCAGACUUCUUGCUCGUCUUAAAUCGAACUACCAGCUGGGAGAACUCAUUACAGUAGAAUGUUAUCCAGAAGCUAUUCAGUUGAUAGCAAAGUUCACUGUACAAUCGUUGCAGAUGUGGCAAUUCGCUCCAAAUAGUGUACAUUACCUGUUAACUUUAUGGCAACGAAUGGUCGCCUCUGUACCGUAUGUUAAAUCACCCGAACCCCAUUUGCUUGGUACAUAUACACCCGAAGUAACCAAAGCGUACAUAACUUCCCGAUUGGAAGCUGUACCUGUGAUUGUAAGAGACAACCUAGAAGAUCCCCUCGACGACCUGUGUAUGGUACAACAACAACUCGAGCAAUUGUCGGUCAUUGAACGUUGUGAAUAUGACAAAACCUGCACACUGUUAGUUCAACAUUUUGACCAAAAGGCCCGAGAAUAUCAAGAAUUGUUACAAAGUCAGUCACCUAAUCCAAUGGAUGUUACCAUUCAUGAAUUACAAUUGACUUGGCUUGUGUAUAUCAUUGGCUCGGCUAUUGUAGGAAGAUUGUCUUUUAAUUCGAACGAUGAACAAGAUACUAUGGAUGGGGAACUUGUAAUACGGGUACUGCAACUAAUGGGUCUCACAGAUAAUAGAUUACCACAAGCCGGCUGUGAAAAACUCGAGUUGGCAAUUCUUAGUUUCCUUGAACAAGUCCGUAAGAUGCAUAUAUGUGAACAAGCGCAAAAAGCGCACGUCUACAAAAGACUGUCUGAAGUAUUUGGUUUAAGUGAUGAACAGAUGCUCUUGAGUUUGAUAAAUAGAAAAAUAAUUACAAAUUUAAAAUACUGGGGCCGUUCGGAGCCAAUUAUAACAAAGACCCUAAUGUUGCUGUCAGAGCUAUCUGUGAAUUUUAAUUCUCUCCGUAAAUUGGCCAAGUUGGAGGAGAUUCAAUUUAUGUUAACGCAUCACACGAGCGAACACUUUCCAUUUCUUGGUACAAAUUCAUCAUUAAGCGAAAUGCGCUGUCGAACAAUGUUCUACACAUCGCUCGGAAGGCUGUUGAUGUUCGAUCUUGGCGAGGAUGAAGAGCGUUUCUAUAAUUUCCUGACACCACUUACCAAUCAAUUCGAAUCACUUGGAUCGGUACUCAUGGAUGGGAAUAGUUUUCCAAAUGAAGAAGCGAAAAAGGCAAUAAUUGGAUUGGCACGUGAUCUUCGUGGUCUUGCAUUGCCAUUGAAUGCUAUAGCUCCGUACACAAUGCUCUUCGAAUGGAUUUAUCCAGAUUAUAUUCCAAUACUAAUACGUGCCGUUGAAUUGUGGGCACACGAUCCAGCUGUUACAACACCAGUACUGAAACUUUUCGCUGAACUUGUGCAUUGUCGAACACAACGUUUGCAAGGCAAUGUUUCUAGUCCAAUGGGAAUUUUACUAUUUCGAGAGGCCUCUAAACUCAUUUGCAUAUACGGCAAUAGGAGUCUUCAUUUGGAUGUGCCGCGAGAUCAGCAAUAUCCAAUGAAAUUAAAAGGCAUUUCCAUAUGUUUCCAUAUACUGAAGAAUGCUCUAAGUGGGAAUUACGUGAAUUUCGGAGUGUUUAAAUUAUAUCGUGAUGAUACAUUGGACAAUGUUUUAAGUAUUGCUGCAAAAUUAAUCAUGUCUAUUCAGCAAAAUGAUUUGUUGGAAUAUCCAAAACUUGCUUCGUCGUACUAUAACCUUCUCAACUGCUUGUCGCAAGAUCAUAUUACAUUUUUGGCUUCAUUGGAGCCACGAGCAUUUAUUUAUAUUUUAGAAAGUCUGUCAAAGGGACUAACGGCACUAGAUUCCACCAUUUUUAUAUGCUGCUGUUCAAUAUUGGACUGUGUUGUGUCAUAUAUAUUUAAGCAGCUGCAAAUUAAAGUUUCGACAUUCCCCAACAAAAAACUCCGUAAUAUUACACCGGAGAACUCACAGUUCCUUGAGGUAGUUGAGAUGAAUUCUGAAAUUCUUCAGGGCAUAAUGUCAACGCUGCUAAAUAUGGUUAUGUCAGAAGACUGCAAGAAUCAAUGGUCUAUGUCCCGUCCGCUCUUAGUACUCAUUUUGCUAUAUGAAGACUAUUUUAGAUCACUUAAAGAAAAUAUUAUUCGAUCGCAACCCAUCGAUAAGCAACAGACAAUGGCACAGUGGUUUGAUGGACUGAUGGAUGGCAUUGAACGAAAUGUUGCGAACAAAAAUCGAGAAAGAUUUACUCAAAACUUAUCAUUGUUCCGACGCGAUGUGGUUCACCUACCGAAGGUUUCAAGUUUUAAUCCUGAAAGAAGAAGUGGGUUUCAAAUUGUCAAAUUUUAAUCCAAAUCCAAAUAAUGUAGUGGUUUGGCCCCUGUGUCUUAGAUAUUAUCAACAAGCUUUUUUGGAGAAACUUAAAACGAUACGUAUCAGGUCUAUAGCGAGACAAAUUAUUCUGUAUCUGUGUAGAUGCUCCCAACAAUAUUAAAAACUUAAUUUUCAAUGGACGCCCAAACGAAAUAGAGAUGUGAAAAAAGAGAGUAAAUUUUGUGUUGUUUGCAAUCUACAUCGUUAUUAUAUAAAUUAAUUAAUUAAUUAAUGAGAACUCUUUCCCAACAACAACAAAAAAUAUUUCUUUCUUUCAUAGUUAAAAUUUAAAUGCUUAUUCUACAUUGUUUCUAUAACUAUUAUAUUUAAUUCAUAAUUCAAAUGUACUUUCAAUUUUUUGUUCUAAUUUUAUUUUUCCAAAAGGAAAAGGUUUUUUUUUGGUUAUUUUUCUUCUCAUUUUUUUUUUUUAAUUUUUCCCUCUGUAUGUCUUUUUGACAUUGAUUAUUGUCCUGCAUGUAGCGUGUAUGAGAGCGAAAAAAAAGGAACUUUAUAUUUUUUAAUUGGGUAUUUUUUUUCAUUAGUUUCAUAUAAUGUGCAUAAACGAAGAAAAAAAAAUUAUUUAAGUAAAAAAAAAUCAAACAAGCUGGAAGAAAGUUAUAUAUUAUUGCAAAUGAAAAAAUAAUAAUAAUAAUACAAAUACAAAAUAAUAAUAAAAAUAAUAUAAAUCAGUAUG
Episyrphus balteatus (marmalade hoverfly) is the source of this 4292-nucleotide RNA transcript. It is a transcript of the gene named ran-binding protein 16, with no coding region annotated. The record is from RefSeq and is a predicted model, not a curated record. The transcript has 22 exons. NCBI's taxonomy places the organism in Eukaryota, Metazoa, Arthropoda, Insecta, Diptera, Syrphidae.